UGGCGGCCGUAGCGCGGUGGUCCCACCUGACCCCAUGCCGAACUCAGAAGUGAAACGCCGUAGCGCCGAUGGUAGUGUGGGGUCUCCCCAUG
Molecule: ribosomal RNA, 92 nt
Filed under: Escherichia coli 5905
Lineage: Bacteria; Pseudomonadati; Pseudomonadota; Gammaproteobacteria; Enterobacterales; Enterobacteriaceae
Source: RNAcentral